AACGGUCUAUACCUGCGGUACCUGCGGAAGGAUCAUUACCGAGUUAGGGUCUUUUGGCCCGACCUCCAACCCUUUGUUUAUUAUACCAUGUUGCUUUGGUGGGCCUGCCUUUCGGGGCUGCCGGGGGCAUCACUGCCCCUGACUCGUGCCUGCCAGGAGCCUUCUUAAAUUCAGUGUUCAACGGUGCUGUCUGAGUCCCAGUAUCAAAAUAUCAAAAACUUUCAGCAAUGGAUCUCUAGA
This 240-nucleotide unclassified non-coding RNA is filed under the name soil metagenome. Its description in RNAcentral is "partial contains 5.8S ribosomal RNA, internal transcribed spacer 2, and large subunit ribosomal RNA". The record is from RNAcentral.